CGGGUGGCGGAGGACGAACCUCAGUUGCCUCCGCGUCUGAGACCGUCAAUCCGCGCAUUUUAUCACGUGGCUUGUUAAGCACGUUACCACGGAGACCUAGUGUGUGUGGAGGCUUCACGCUAUUCUCCCCGGCAUCCAUGCACAACUCACCAUGUGCCCCACUGAGAGCGAGAACCACAUUAUAGCGGCCAUGAGGAGGUGAACCCAACUUGACUCUACCCACCCUAGCAACCGGGCCAGCUGGUUGCUUAGGAAGCCUGACUGGAGUCACUCAGCACGCCCUGGAUUCGAACUUGCGACUCCAGGUGAAGGAGACAUGGGCGGACGUUGAGCGCAUGUGAAGCCAGCAAAAAAGAAUUGCCAAGCAGUCUCUUUUUAAUGCUGCACUUUAUACUCUGGGAGAGUUAAGUUAAAAAGAAGCUCGCCGCUAAAAUGAUAUCCUUGCCUAUUGUGAAUAUUCCAUGUAGCUGUGUACGAAGCACCGCCCAUACAGAGGUCACUGCCAAACCAAAUAACUUCCUAAUGGUCAAUUUGAACCCAACUUGAACCCCACGUGAAAUCCGCGAGGAGAAAAUUCUUUGCCACUGGAAGUCCAUCAGACAAAAUUAAUGACUGCACAGAUUCUACAAGAUGACUGUAUUUCACCUGCGAAUUUCACCGUGCGAAGGAUUCAUAUCCCAAGGUUAUCAGAGCCGGCCAGGUCCAGCUCCAUUCCUGCUUCGUGUUGGACUCCACUGCUACGUGUCACUGAUUGAUGAUGACUAAAUGCAGCCGGUGCCAGCCAGAGAUCACUUCAGUCUAUUACGAUGGACUUCAAGGGAUGAACUGAUGCCAACUCUAACCAUAAGACAUGGGAUCCUUCAUAUGCCACUGCCUGAACCUUGGACUUAGGAUGGACCUCACCAAAAUGACCUGCUGGUUGAACUGCAAUGUACCUCACUGAUCUCUGCCUGCAUCACCUUGGUCUAAUGAUGGACUACACUCUUAAAAUGGAAUACAUAGACUGUCAAUUAAUAGCCAACAAAUGCCUUCAUCAGCCAACUAACAAAGGACAAUGCAUCAAUGUGAACUUCUGCAGUUAAUCCAGGAUGAACUUCAAAGACAUUAGUCAUUAAUCUUACAGUUCAUACAGAAUCUUUGUUUAAACACUGGCCCUUAACACUUACUUAGUUUACACAUUUUAAACCAUGACUUGCACUGCAUAUAAAUAACUAAUAUUGGCAUUAUAUUCAUGAAGUUAGCCAGAGGGGAACUGGCCCCCACAUUGAGCCUGGUUUCUCCCAAGGUUAUUUUUCUCCAUUAACCAUCAUCUUAUGGAGUUUUGUGUUCCUUGCCACAGUUGCCUUUGGCUUGCUCACUGGUGUUCUAAAUACAAUUAUUAUUGAAUUAUCUAUUUUUAUACACAAUUUACAAUAGUAUUUAAUCAAACUACACAAUGAUCACUCAAAUACAUUAUAGAUAU
Long non-coding RNA from Myxocyprinus asiaticus (Chinese sucker), 1462 nucleotides. RefSeq lists it as uncharacterized. NCBI's taxonomy places the organism in Eukaryota, Metazoa, Chordata, Actinopteri, Cypriniformes, Catostomidae. The record is from RefSeq and is a predicted model, not a curated record. The transcript has 3 exons.